GAAAUGCGAUAAGUAAUGUGAAUUGCAGAAUUCCGUGAAUCAUCGAAUCUUUGAACGCACAUUGCGCCCCCUGGCAUUCCGGGGGGCAUGCCUGUCCGAGCGUCAUUUCUGCCCUCCAGCACGCCUGGGUGUUGGGUGCUGUCCCCCCGGGGACACGCCCCAAAAGCAGUGGCGGCGCCGCGUCGGGUCCUCGAGCGUAUGGGGCUCUGUCACCCGCUCGGGAGGGACUCGGUCGGCGCUGGUCUUCCUUUAGGCGACCCUUCGGGGCUCGUCUCCUCUGGUUGACCUCGGAUCAGGUAGGGCUACCCGCUGAACUUAA
RNAcentral lists this unclassified non-coding RNA (319 nucleotides) under uncultured Talaromyces. RNAcentral's name for it is "sequence contains ITS1". The stretch from base 1 to 105 matches the Rfam family "5.8S ribosomal RNA", at positions 50 to 154 of the family's 154-position model. The record is from RNAcentral. Lineage: Eukaryota; Fungi; Ascomycota; Eurotiomycetes; Eurotiales; Trichocomaceae.